This 647-nucleotide ribosomal RNA is filed under the name Sonerila plagiocardia. RNAcentral's name for it is "eukaryotic LSU rRNA". The stretch from base 257 to 412 matches the Rfam family "5.8S ribosomal RNA". The record is from RNAcentral. Lineage: Eukaryota; Viridiplantae; Streptophyta; Magnoliopsida; Myrtales; Melastomataceae.
CAUUGUCGAAAUCAAAUGGAAGAACGACCCGCGAACAGUCUUGUGUCCUAUAGAGGGCCUGUGGGCAUAACGCUUGCGCGGCUCGCAUCGCGUCUGUGUGGAUGCACGCCAGGCUCGCCUCGUACCGACGGUGUACCUUUUUCAGCACGGAUCGUGCCAAGGAGCUGCAUAGAGAGUAUCGUCGUCCCAUGCCUUGGGUUGCCCUCGUUGGUGACUGCGGCAGGGAUGCGCGUGGCCUCUACCAAGAAGUCUAAAUGACUCUCGGCAACGGAUAUCUCGGUUCUUGCAUCGAUGAAGAACGUAGCGAAAUGCGAUACUUGGUGUGAAUUGUAGAAUCCCGCGAACCAUCAAUUCUUUGAACGCAAGUUGCGCCCGAGGCCAUUCGGCCGAGGGCACGCCUGCCUGGGUGUCGUGAAUCCCGUUGCCCCCGUGCACUUGUCCUCGUGCAUCUCAUUGCCUGGGUCAAUGUUGGGGCGCAUAAUGUGGUUCUCCCGUGAGAUUUGCACGUGCGUCGUGUCGUCUAGCGGUUGGCCGAAAUUUGAGCUUGUAGGUGAAGUGAACCGCAGCGUUAUGUGGAUCUACUUAGAUUGGCUGCGUUGUGGUCUCGUCAUGCGUCUCGCUCUUGGCUUUGAUCAUUUUGAGUGCGA